This 324-nucleotide ribosomal RNA is filed under the name uncultured eukaryote. RNAcentral's name for it is "partial 18S ribosomal RNA". It matches the Rfam family "Eukaryotic small subunit ribosomal RNA", at positions 1470 to 1796 of the family's 1831-position model. The record is from RNAcentral.
CCCUUAGAUGUUCUGGGCUGCACGCGCGCUACACUGAUGCGAUCAACAAGUUUUUCCUAUGUCGAUAGACACGGGUAAUCUUUUGAACUCGCAUCGUGAUGGGGAUAGAUUAUUGUAAUUAUUAAUCUUCAACGAGGAAUUCCUAGUAGGUGCAAAUCAUCAGUAUGCAUCGAUUACGUCCCUGCCCUUUGUACACACCGCCCGUCGCUGCUACCGAUUGGUUGAUCUGGUGAAUUAUUCGGACUGCCGGCUGAAGGGGUUUCCUCAUCUGCCAGCGGAAAGUCUUGUUAACCCUAUCAACUAGAGGAAGCAGAAGUCGUAACA